UGAAUUGGUUUCUUUUAAUUUUAACUAACUUACUUGAGUCAAAUGAAUGGUUAGCAAGUUGAAACAAAUCACAAUACAAACAACACAAAGUAUAGUGGCUCGGUGCUCUCCUUAGCACCUACGUCCACUCCCCAAGCGACCCCUUGGGAUUCACUAUAAUCUCGCAGAUUACAGUUGGAUUGUUUUCCGGGCUCACAAUCCAAAAAUCUUUACACCUUGGUUUUCCGGGCUCACCAAAAACGUAUACACUUUGGUUUUUCGGGCUCACCAAAAACCUUUAUUGGUUUUACGGGCUCA
RNAcentral lists this long non-coding RNA (297 nucleotides) under Phoenix dactylifera (date palm). Its description in RNAcentral is "long non-coding RNA (PDAC_LNC013710)". Lineage: Eukaryota; Viridiplantae; Streptophyta; Magnoliopsida; Arecales; Arecaceae. The record is from RNAcentral.